This 446-nucleotide ribosomal RNA is filed under the name uncultured bacterium. RNAcentral's name for it is "partial 16S ribosomal RNA". It matches the Rfam family "Bacterial small subunit ribosomal RNA", at positions 354 to 796 of the family's 1533-position model. The record is from RNAcentral.
GUAGGGAAUAUUGGACAAUGGGGGGAACCCUGAUCCAGCCAUGCCGCGUGGAGGAAGACUGCCCUCUGGGUUGUAAACUCCUUUUAUAUGGGAAGAACCGUCCUCAUUAAUGAGUGACCUGACGGUACCAUAGGAAUAAGCACCGGCUAACUCCGUGCCAGCAGCCGCGGUAAUACGGCGGGUGCAAGCGUUAUCCGGAUUCACUGGGUUUAAAGGGUGCGUAGGCGGAUAAAUAAGUCAGUGGUGAAAUCAACGGGCUCAACCUGUUAACUGCCAUUGAUACUGUGUAUCUUGAAUAUGAGAGAGGUAGGCGGAAUGUUGCAUGUAGCGGUGAAAUGCUUAGAUAUGCUACGGAACACCGAUUGCGAAGGCAGCUUACUAUUUCGUAAUUGACGCUGAGGCACGAAAGCGUGGGUAGCGAACAGGAUUAGAAACCCUAGUAGUCC